This 500-nucleotide ribosomal RNA is filed under the name Pedioplanis undata. RNAcentral describes it as "partial 16S ribosomal RNA". It matches the Rfam family "Bacterial large subunit ribosomal RNA", at positions 1861 to 2614 of the family's 2925-position model. The record is from RNAcentral. Lineage: Eukaryota; Metazoa; Chordata; Lepidosauria; Squamata; Lacertidae.
GCCCAGUGACUUUCUUAAACGGCCGCGGUAUCCUAACCGUGCAAAGGUAGCAUAAUCACUUGUCCCCUAAAUAGGGACUAGUAUGAACGGUCAAAUGAGGACCUAACUGUCUCUUACAUUUAACCAAUAAAACUGAUCUCUCAGUUAAAAAGCUGGGAUACAAACAUAAGACGAGAAGACCCUGUGGAGCUUCAAACCAAACCCAACCCUAAUGAAAUAAGGUUUUUAGUUGGGGCGACUUCGGAGUAUAAAAAAACCUCCGACACAAGCUUUAUUAAGACCAACACGUCAACAUAUUCUUCUUCCUGACCCGGUAUUUAUUAAAAUAUCCGAUCAAUGAACCAAGUUACCCCAGGGAUAACAGCGCCAUCCCCUUCUAGAGUCCUUAUCGACAAGGGGGUUUACGACCUCGAUGUUGGAUCAGGACACCCAAAUAGUGCAGCCGCUAUUAAAGGUUCGUUUGUUCAACGAUUAACAGUCCUACGUGAUCUGAGGUUCAG